AGAGUAUAAUCGCAAGAUUGAAAUUCAAAGGAAUUGACGGGAGUCUACACAAGCGGUGGAGCAUGUGGUUUAAUUCGAUAAUACGCGCAGAACCUUACCAAUUCUUGUAAAUAUUUUUAAAAAAUAUAUUUUUAAAAAAUACAGGCGUUGCAUGGCUGUCGUCAGCUCGUGUUGUGAGAUGUUUGGUUUAUUCCCUUAACGAGCGAAACCCCUAUUUUUAGUUGCUAAUUUAUAUUUAAGAAAGUCUCUUAUUAUAAAUGCACUUUAAAAAAAGUUAAUGACAUAUUAAUGGAGAUGGGGAUUACGUCAAGUCUUCAUGGCCCUUAUGAAUUGGGCUACACACGUGCUACAAUGAUAAAUACAAUGAGAGGCAAUAAUAAUAAAAAAUUGGAGCAAAUCUUUAAAAUUUAUCUUAGUUCGGAUUAUGGGCUGCAACUCGCCCAUAUAAAGUUGGAAUCGCUAGUAAUCGCAAAACAG
RNAcentral lists this ribosomal RNA (477 nucleotides) under Protoachlya paradoxa. Its description in RNAcentral is "partial small subunit ribosomal RNA". It matches the Rfam family "Bacterial small subunit ribosomal RNA", at positions 877 to 1352 of the family's 1533-position model. The record is from RNAcentral. Lineage: Eukaryota; Oomycota; Saprolegniomycetes; Saprolegniales; Saprolegniaceae.